This 506-nucleotide ribosomal RNA is filed under the name uncultured bacterium. RNAcentral's name for it is "bacterial SSU rRNA". It matches the Rfam family "Bacterial small subunit ribosomal RNA", at positions 15 to 507 of the family's 1533-position model. The record is from RNAcentral.
GAUCAUGGCUCAGGAUGAACGCUAGCUACAGGCUUAACACAUGCAAGUCGAGGGGGAAACGACAUCGAAAGCUUGCUUUUGAUGGGCGUCGACCGGCGCACGGGUGAGUAACGCGUAUCCAACCUGCCCGCCACUUGGGGAUAACCUUGCGAAAGUAAGACUAAUACCCAAUGAUAUCCCACGAAGGCAUCCGAAUGGGAUUAAAGAUUUAUCGGUGAUGGAUGGGGAUGCGUCUGAUUAGCUUGUUGGCGGGGUAACGGCCCACCAAGGCUACGAUCAGUAGGGGUUCUGAGAGGAAGGUCCCCCACAUUGGAACUGAGACACGGUCCAAACUCCUACGGGAGGCAGCAGUGAGGAAUAUUGGUCAAUGGGCGAGAGCCUGAACCAGCCAAGUAGCGUGCAGGAUGACGGCCCUAUGGGUUGUAAACUGCUUUUAUAAGGGAAUAAAGUUAGUCUCGUGAGACUUUUUGCAUGUACCUUAUGAAUAAGGACCGGCUAAUUCCGUG